CGUAAUAAUAGAAACUAACCAGGAUUCCCUUAGUAACGGCGAGUGAACUGGGAUACCAACAAAAUACAUGUGCCUCGCGCGCAUGAUUUAGCCCGUCGAUACUAUCCUAGCAUAUUACCGGUCUCGGCCGGUAACUCAAUAUGCGGGAAUUGUAGCAUCGUAAUAAAAAUAAAAUAUAUACACGCACACACCCACCGCGUACAUUCUUGUAAACACACAGCGUCUCCGCGUUGGAAAGCAAGUUUAUAUCCUCUUUGGAUAUGCCAUAGAGUGUGACAGCCACGUUUCACUCAUAACCGUACGCACACACACACGCCCCGUGCGCUAAUAUAUAUUUCUAUAACCUGAGUCGAGUUAUUU
RNAcentral lists this ribosomal RNA (360 nucleotides) under Ammonia sp. 91. RNAcentral's name for it is "partial 28S ribosomal RNA". Lineage: Eukaryota; Foraminifera; Rotaliida; Rotaliidae. The record is from RNAcentral. RNAcentral also lists the same sequence under 1 other name.